RNAcentral lists this long non-coding RNA (24174 nucleotides) under Eucalyptus grandis. Its description in RNAcentral is "long non-coding RNA (EGRA_LNC004675)". Lineage: Eukaryota; Viridiplantae; Streptophyta; Magnoliopsida; Myrtales; Myrtaceae. The record is from RNAcentral.
GGUAAAGAUGCCCUUCUCACCUACUGUUUUAACUUUGAAUUCGUUCUAGCGAGUAUCAAUAAUUUCUUCAGACUGCCCAGCACAAGCAGUGAAGCCAAAAGCAAUCAACCAGCCGACCCAACUUUUAGAAAGAAAAAUAAAACAAAAUUGAUCCGAGUGCUGAGCCAAUUAUAGAGUUGACACAGACUACCCUUCAGCAACAACGUUGUUAGCCACUUGAUAUCAAACCAUUUGUUCCAAUGCGCAGAUAAUCGAGAGAUUGCAGCUGACUACGCUAAUCAUUCUAAAAGCCUAAAACUAUUAGAAAAAGGCUCAAUUUUUGUCUUUAACGCGUGCGAUCGGCCGCGAUCGGCCAUGGUCUUCGAGAAGCGGAUUACGCAAAACCGGGGUUCUGUGCAGAAGUUCAAAACCAUUCGACCAUCAAGCCGAUCUCAAAGCCUUCCACCUUCCCCUCCAAGAAUUCAACCCGAUCAAGCUCCAGGCCCACGAACCCGACAAUCAUCUCAUCCCGCGGCCGCCGUAAAACCCAGAAUUCGUCCGACAGAAAUCAAGUUACCUUGCGACCGGAGUCGAUGAGAAUAGGGUCGGUGCAGAGACGCAGGAAGACGUCCUUCUUCCUAGUCAGCGAGGGCCCAAAAGGCGGCGGCGGCGAGGAAGUGGAGACGAUGAGGUCGAGAUCGGUGGGGAGGAAGUUGCGCCAGACGGCGUCGGAGUCGGAGGCGGAGCGGAAGGCGCGGGAGAGGGUGGCGCAGCGGCCGGCGUCGGCAGGGGUGGCGCGGCCGGCGUCGAGCGGGGUGGCGAGGGCCAGGGAGAGUAUGCGGGCGAUGCAAUUCGCGGGCAAGGCGCCCAGCUCCACCAUCUCUUUCGUCGGGAUGAUCGAUCGACCGAUCGCGUUCGAAGUUCGAUCGGUCCGAUGAUGUUCUCGUUUCGAUUCGGUCUGAGGUUGCUGACAACCACGGGCUCAGCUACGAAGCAGAGGCUUCCCAGUCUCCAGUUCUUUUUUUUCUUUUUCUUUUUUUAUGUCUCUUUUCUGGUCUUUUCUUGGGUCACCCGGAACUUACCCGAUUUGUUCGGUGAUAGAAAAAUACUUUUCAAAAGCUUCCGUCAAGAUGAUGGUUAUGGAAAAAAUCUCCGAGAAGUCGAAAAGUCUUUCCCUCUCUCUUCUCUGUCGUCUUCGACCUUCAAUCAUUGGGAGGGUUCGAGCUAGUCUCACCCUCCCCUCCAUCCAUUUUGAUUUUCUUUGAAGUUUUCUUUUACUUUUCCCAUUUUUUCUCUCCUGAUUUAGAUUUGGGAGUUGUGCUCCCCAGAUUUGAGAGUUUGAACUCUUUGAAUCUAGUUUGAGACCAAUGAGUUAGACUAAUGAGUUUUUCUCUCCCAAUUUAGAUCUAGAAAUUUAAUAAUAUUUUCAGAAACUUGAUACUCCCAUGCUCUAUCCGUGUACAGGUCAUCUACCUCCACUUUCAGUAAUGAUUGUUGGAACUCUAGCGUCUCAUUAAAUUAUAAAGAUUUGCUCUUCCAAAGGCUAGAUUUGUAUUUAUUCGAUAUAUUUGGUCGUCUCCAUAUGUCAAUAAUAUAGAGAAAGCCAAAUUUAAGUGCGCAUCACCAACUAGCAACGCUGUAGUUAUUAGAGAAUGAAUUUCCAGUGUGUGUUCAUUAUUGACAAUAAUAAAAGAUCUAGUGAUUGAUCAUCAAUUAUCUUGCUUUUAGAAUGAAUAUAUAUGCUUAACCCUUCUGAUGCUUUGUUGAUACACCUUGUUUUCUGAAUUUGGCUUUGUUUGUAGUAUUUUGACCUUUGUUUUGCUUCAAUUUGCUUUACUUCUCAUAUAUUCUUUUGAGCCAUGAAUAUAAUUUUUUUUCUAACAAAAUAAAAAAGCUUCCAUUAAGGUUUCACUCUAUCCUUAAAUGAGAUAAAUAAAGAAGAUGAAGGAAAAGAAUCCAAAGAAACCAGAAAAAUAUAAUUUUUUGUUUCUGAAAUAGAGUUAUCAUAAUAAAGGAAUGGACAAAAGCCAUCAAAACCUUAGAGUAUUCGUGCGGUGACACAUUUAUUCUAAAUUUUCCUUUGGGAUAUCAAAAAUCUCAAACUUAUAUAUGUGUAACAUAUUUACUAUCCGUCAAAAUGAGAUAAAUAAAGAAGAUGAAGGAAAAAAAUUCAAAGAAACCGGAAAAAUAUAACAUUUUGUUUAUGAAAUAGAGUUAUCAUAAUAAAGGAAUGGACAAAAGCCAUCAAAACCUUAAGAGUAUUCGCGCGGUGACACAUUUAUUCUAAAUUUUCCUUUGGGAUAUAAAAAAUCUCAAACUUAUAUAUGUGCAACAUAUUUACUAUCCGUCAAAGUUCUAUCAAUACAAACCUUUAAAAUCCCACCUACAUGGACAUCAAAAAACAAAUAGUGUUGACAUGGCGCCCACGUAUCUUUAGUGAAAUAAAAAUGAUAUUUACUUUAGCUGAAAAAUUAUUUUAUGGGACCUUAACGAAUGAUAAAUAUGUCACAUAAGUACAAAUUUGAGAUUUUUUACGUCAUAAGAAAAAGUCUAUGGUAAAUAUGUCAUAAUAGAUAUGUUUUGGAGUUUUUUGUCACAAAUAAAAAUUUAAAGUAAAUAUAUCAAAGUUUAAAGUAAAUGUACAAAUUUCUGUUAAGAUAAUAGUAUGGAAAAAAUCUCUGGGAAAUCGAAAUGUCUUUUCCUCUCUCUUCUUUGUCUUCUUCAAGUAUAGGGAGGGUAUGAGUUAGCCUCACCCUCCCAUUCAUCUAUUUUGAUUUGAUUUGAUUUUAUUUUUUUUCUUCUUCUUCUCUGUUCCCUCCACCCAACGCCACUAAGGGCAGCUCUAGCCAACCCUAGCCAACCCAGCAAGGGCGACCCAGGCCGGCGAAGAGAGGAGAGAAGGGAAAAAAGAAAGAAAAGAAAAAGAAAAAGAAAAAAUAGAAAAAAUAAGACGAAAAUGCUCUUGACGGGGUAAAUGUGUCAUAAUUUGCAAAGUUGAGGAUUUUUUAUGUCACAAAAAAAAGUUUGAGUAAAUUUAUCACUUACAUAAAGCUUGAGGUUUUUGGUGGUUUUUUUACCUCCACGUUUUCAUUGGCGUGUUCCUUUUUUUAUUAUUAUUCUGAUGAAUCACGUUAAUGCCCUCCACCUUAUGCUUAAAGCGUGCAAAAUUUGACUGCCUCUUGCGGUUCUCUUACCGCCGAAAAUGGAAAAUGAGUUCGAACCGAGAGAACUAAUACAAGAAUGGUAAAGAGGGGAACAAAAGACUUCUGGUCAUCUUGAUCAUGUCUAGUCAGAAAACCAAAUGUCCCCUGCAUAUGAAAUGGUCACAUUAUACAUAGAAUGCAUCUUGGAUAAGCACAUUCACACAGCUUUGAACAGGAUCCAGUUUACAAACACCCCCUUUGUAAAUAUAUUUUCUGUUAAAUUUUAUGUGAAGUAUAUUCAUCUAUAACAUUCACAGUAUCCCCAUUCACCACAUCUCCGUCGACCUAUGUGCUGACGACUGCUUUUUUGGGAAGUCCUUUUUUGAGAAGUCAUCUGUGUAGGACGAAGCUCAAUCCCCUGGAUGACUAGCCCGGAUUUCCACUUUGCCCUUUUCACCUCCAUCAAGCUUAUUUGAACCUCCCCGGUUGGAGGGUUUUCCACAAAAAACUCACCCAGAUUGAUCUCCUGCCACCCAUCUCCUCGGUCCUGAGGAGCUUUUUUCUCCCUAGCCCGAAUAACUCUUGCCACAGAUGCAUUGCGGAACACAUGCCGAGAUUUCUUGUGCGGGGUUUGAUAUCGUUGUCUCAACCUCCCAUCAGGAUCAAAAUAUAUAUUGCGUUGUUGACCUGCAGAACCACAAAAGAUGGACACUUCCACUGCUUGAUUCUCAAACCCAUAGUUCCCAUGCACAAACUUGAAGAUGAAGUAAGCUGCAUAAUAUGUGUCAGCAGACAGAAGUCGCAUCUCCAUCUUAGCGUGAACCUCAAGCCAGCGUGCACUUACAAGCUCUGCCACCUCUGGGAAUCUUUCAAAUAGAUGAACAGAUUUCAGUUACCAUACGAUAGAUGCCAAACAUAAGAAGACAGAUGACAGUAUCCACAGCAAAAGAGGAAAAUGUAACGGCAGUUUGGAGAUUGGAUGGACCUUGAGCCGUGGAGUGAACUCCAUCUCCAGAAGCUAGAAGUGUCAUCCCAUACUAUAGACAGAUCUCGAGCGCCAAUUAUAUAACACUUCUUCCCGCUCCAUUUUUCAAGUGCAAAACUCUGCAAAAGACAUGGGGAGAUCAUUCUACGUGAAAUAUUUGGAAAAUUAAGGAGGUGCUGUCUCUCCAUAAGAAACAUGACAAUAGCGAUGGAUAAUUAUGCAGAGAGAAUUACAAGUUGGUACUGAACAGAUAUGAUACUCCUCGAGACAUGAUUCCCAAAACGAUUAAAAUAAGAUUGUUGUACUUAAAUUAAGUAUUUAGGAUGCCCAUGAUCUCCACUAUAAUAAAAAUGAAAACAACAAGCUAGAGUAACUUCAUUGCUUCAAAAAGACCAUCACAACUGGGUUGUGUUCCAUGAACUUCUCCCAGUAAUAAAAUACCAAAAACGUAAAAGAAUCAUCACCCCAUGAACUUUUCAAUUGAAUGCACUUGACUCUUUGAUAAGUCAACCGUCCAACAUUAACCAAACGGUUAGUACAGAUGGUCCAUCUCUAUAUCCAGCCCAACCAAUUCUAGGAGUAACAGCUUCUAAUGUCAUUCUCUGCUUUCAACUAGUGCUCCCUCAAUUUAGACAAGGACAUCACGUUUUAGAACACAUGGAGACAAUUCGCCCUGCAUUCAUCAUUAUGUCAUUACGUGCAUGUGAGCAGAGACUGCACCAACGAGAUACCUUCACCAGACUUCUGUGGAACAAACGAUGUUCCAAUUCUAUCCCAAACUUUAACUAGAACCAGUUACGCCACAGCAGCCAUUUUAAAGCACGGUGUUCAAAUCCAUCCCUAGCUCAGCUGCUGCAGACAGCCCACAAGCCCAUUGGUAAAGAUGCCAUUCUCACCUACUAUUUUAACUUUGAAUUCGAGUAUCAAUAAUUUCUUCAGACUGCCCAGCAAAAACAGUGAAGCCAAAAGCAAUCAACCAGCCAACCCAAGUUUACAAAAGAAAAAUAAAACAAAAUUGAACCCGAGUACUAUGCCAAUUAGAGCAAAGGCUUAAAAUUGAGCUGACACGGCUUAUGCUUCAUAUCUUUGAGACCACCCUUCAGCACGAACGUUGUUAGCCACUUAAUAUCAGACCAUUUGUUCUAAUGCGCAGAUAAUUGAGAGAUUGCAGCUGACUACGCAAAUCAUUCUAAAAGCCUGAAACUAUUGGAAAAAGGCUCAAUUUUUGUCUUUAACGCGUGUGAUCGGCCAUGGUCUUCGAGAAGCGGAUUCCACAAAACCGGGGUUCUGUGCAGAAGUUCAAAACCUUGCGACCCUCAAAGCCGAUCUCAAAGCCUUCCACCUUCCACUCCAAGAAUUCAACCCAAUCAAGCUCGAGGCCCACGAACCCGACAAUCAUCUCAUCCCGUGGCCGCCGUAAAACCCAGAAGUUCGUUCGACGAAAAAUCAAGUUACCUUGCGACCGGAGUCGAUGAGAAGAGGGUCUUUGCAGAGACGUAGGAAGACGUCCUUCUUCCUAUCCAGCGAGGGCCCAAAAGGCGGCGGCGGCAAGAAAGUGGAGACGAUGACGUCGAGGUCGGGGGGGAGGAACUUGUGCCAGACGGCGUCGGAGUCGGAGGCGGAGCGGAAGGCGCGGGAGACGGCGGCGGAGCGGGCGGCGUCGAGAGGGGUGGUGAGGGAGAGUACGUGGGCGAUGCAUUCCUCGGGCAACGCGUCCAGCUCCACCAUCUCUUUCGUCGGGAUGAUCGAUCGAUCGCGUUCAAAGCUCGGUCGGUCCGGUCCGACGAUGUUCUCGUUUCGAUCGAGAUGAUAGUACAGAAAAAAGUCUCCUAGAAGUUGAAAAGUUUUUCCCCCUCUCUCCUCUUUGCCUUGUUCGGCCUUCAACCUUGAGCUAUUCUAGGAGAAAAUAUUAGGUGUNNNNNNNNNNNNNNNNNNNNNNNNNNNNNNNNNNNNNNNNNNNNNNNNNNNNNNNNNNNNNNNNNNNNNNNNNNNNNNNNNNNNNNNNNNNNNNNNNNNNCAUCUCCCAAUGGUCUCUGGGACGACAACCGAACGGGCAGACGGACAAGGGGAGAUGAAAUGAAAAGUAAAAACCCAAACUUCCUUGAAGAAUCUCACCAGGCGGGGUCGGACGCGGAGCUGGGAGAGGGAAAUGAGCAGAUGGGUUUUGUAAACGGACGCGUAGGCGCAUUGGGUCGGCUUUGGUUUCCUUAUUUAAUGCGAUUUCAUCACGUGGGUCGUCCUCGCCUGUUCCUGGGUAUUGUUCGACACUCGCAGCCAGCCAUGGACGACACUCGCUCGACCUCAAACUCGGAGCUUUGGUUAGCGCUCGAGUUUCGAGCUCGGCCUCAAGCCAUCUCACCGCAAACGAAGCUCGACGCAGUCUCCGUCCCGCAGCGCGCCGUCCCUCCUCGACCUGAAGCGGCCAGAGCUCGAGCCAUGGCAGACGAAAGAGGGAAGAAAAGAGAAGUAUAGAGAGAAGAGGGGGAGAGAGUUGUGGGCAGAAUCGGAGGGAAGGAGAGACAGUAAAGGUGAGAGAGACGGAGUUAAUGGACAAAGUGGGGGCUAAUGGGUGGGCCCAAAUUUGCCACGUGUCUAUUAGUGUAUGGUUUACUGCACCAUCCUACGUGGCAUAUUAAACACACCUCAUAUUUUCUCGCUAGUCUCACCUUUUCAUCCAUAUGUUUUGAUUUUCUUUUGAGUUUUUUUUUUGUACUUUUCCUCUUUUUUUUCUCUUUCGAUCUAGAUUUGAGAGUACUUCACCAAUCUAAUUCUAUUUGAGAGUUUGAAUUCUCUAAAUCUAGUACUAGAUUAAGGAGUUCUUAUCUUCCAAUUAAAAUCUAGGAGUUUAAUAGUUUUUCCGAGGAUUCGAUAUCCCUAUGCUCUAUCCGUAUACAAGUCAAUGAUGAUUAUAGGAGCUUUAACGUCUCACUAAACUAUGAAGAUUUGCUCUUCUAAAGGUUAAAUUUGUGUUUAUUUAACCAAUUUUGAUUGUCCCAUAUGACAAUGGUGUAAUGAAAGUUGAACCUAGGCACGCACUGUCGACUAGCAAUCCCGUAAUUAUUGGAGAAGGAAUUUACAGCAUGGAUUCAUCACUAACAAUGAUACGAGAUACAGUAAUUGUCCGUCAAUUAUCUUGCUUGACAAAUCCAUUCUUUUAGAACAAGUGUGUGCCUAACCUUGCCAAUACUUUGUUGAUCCUCCCUAUGUUCUGGAUUUUACUUAAUUUUGUAGUAUUCUGGCCUUUGCUUUGCUUCAAUUUACUUUAUCAUAAAAGUCUAUAUACUUCUCAUUUAUUCUUUUGAGUUAUGAAUGUAGUUUUUUUUUUUGACAAAAAAAGAAGAAAAAAAGAAAAGCUUCCAUUAAAGUUUCACUCUUUUCUUAAAUGAGAUAAAUAAAGAAGAUGAAAUAAAAAAAUCAAAGAAACCGAAAAGAUAUAAUUUUUAGUUUAUGAAAUAGAGUUAUCAUAAUAAAGGAAUGGACAAAAGACAUCAAAGCCCUAGAGUAUCCUCCUUAUGUUCUGAAUUUUACUUUAUUUUGUAGUAUUCUGGCCUUUGCUUUGCUUCGAUUUACUUUAUCAUAAAAGUCUAUAUAUUUCUCAUGUAUUCUUUUGAGUUAUGAAUACAGUUUUUUUGACAAAAAAAAAAGAAAAAAAGAAAAGCUUCCGUUAAGGUUUCACUCUUUCCUUAAAUGAGAUAAAUAAAGAAGAUGAAAUUAAAAAAAAAAAAAUCAAAGAAACUGAAAAGAUAUAAUUUUUAGUUUACGAAAUAGAGUUAUCAUAAUAAAGGAAUGAACAAAAGCCAUCAAAGCCCUAGAGUAUCCUCAUGGUGACACAUUUAUCCUAAUUUUUGUUCUAGGAUAUGAAAAUUCUCAAACUUGUUCAUGCGCGACAUAUUUACAGUCUAUCAAAGUUUUGUCAAUACAAACCUUUAAAAGCCUACCUACAUGGAUGUCGAAAAACAAACUGUGUUUAUAUGGCGCCUGUGUGGCUUUAAUGAAAUAAAAACGAUGUUUUUUUUGGCUCAAAAAUUAUUUUACCUAACUUGACGAAUGAUAAAUGUGUCAAAUAAGUGCAAGUUUGAGUUUAUGGUAAAUGUGUAACAAUAGAUAUGAUUUUGAAUUUUUUAUGUUACAAAUAAAAGUUUAGAGUAAACAUGUCAUAAUUUUUUUUUCCAGUAAACAUGUUAUAAUUGGCAUAAUUUAUUUUUUUAAAAACUUUUUCCAUAAAGAGAUUCACUUAAUUAUUAAAUCAAGCUAGGUCUCUCCAGCUGAGCCAAGCAUCAAGGCCUUGUAUGCGCUAGCGAUUGGCACAUAGAGGAGUGAUUGCCCAAGUUUCUCGGCCUGAUAUAACACACUAUCAAUUUGUUAUUUCUAGAGUAAUUUUCUAGAUAUCUUAUGGAAAAUUGUAUAAUUAUCAAAAGCCUUAUGUUUUGAAAUUAAUUUCAUGAAGUUGAUGAUAAAGCUGAUGAUAAAGAACACAUACGUCCUAGUGGAUAUUAUGCACUUAUUACACAACAACCCCUUAGAGAAAGGGCCAAGCAAGGCAAGCAAGGUAGACAAUAAGUAGGAGAAUGGAAGCUUGGGCUCUGAGGGGUUUGGGGUUGCUCAUAUUUUACAAGACAGUUAACUUAGCGCUAAAAGCAAGACAGAAGUUUUUAAUUAAUAUAUCACAUACAAAUUUAUGGAAUUUUUUAAUCUAUGAUAGUGAGGGUCACUGCACGCUCUCUAAAUCAGUGUUGAGUGCUUGUAACAACUUUGCUCACGACUUGAAUUUAUAGUCUUAGGCAAAAUAGCGUGACAAAAACAAAAACCUUAAUAUUUGUAUGCCUAUCGUGUUUCCUCUCUCUCAAUAAACAAAUGAUUUCUUCUUCUUCUUUUUUUGUAAAGCGGCUUUAGCAAUUUUCGACCAGCUUCCGCACAUUUCAACUGGUCCACCUCUCCAAACGAUCUUAAGAGACGUUGCCCUGACACGUUCUACAUUUCACUCCUAAAAUGUUAUAAAGAAGGUUCGCACCGAUCAUGGAUAACAUUUCAAAAUAAUUCCCCCUUUUUAUAAACACCCCCUUGUAAAUAUAUAUUCCGUAACAUCUUAUUGUGAAGUAUAAUCAUCUGUAAUAUUGACAAUAUUCCCAUUCGCCUCAUCUCUGUCGACCUCUGCGCAGAAGUCGAUCUAUGCGCAGACGACUGCUUUCUUCGGAACUCAUCUGUGUAGGACGAAGCUCAAUCCCCUGGAUGACCAGCCCGGAUCUCCAGGUACCACUCGUCACGCCCAUCAAACUUACUUCAACCUCCCCACUUGGAGGGUCGUUCACGAAAAACUUACCCAGAUAGAUCUCCUUCCACCCAUCUCCUCGGUCCUGAGGAAUUUUUUCCUCCGUUGACCGAACAACACUUGGGUCCAUAUCCGGCCACCUCUCUCGCGCGGUUUGAUAUUGCUGUCUCCACCUCCCGUCGGGAUCCAAGUAUAUAUCGCGUUGCUCAACCUCAGAACCAGAAGAGAUGGACACUCCCACUGCUUGAUUCUCAAAGCCAGAGUUCUCAUGCACAAACUUGAAGAUUAAAGUAAGCUGAAUAAUAUGUGUCAGCAGACAGAAGUCGCGUCUCCAUCUUAGCGUGAACCUCAAGCCAGCAUACUCUUAUGAGCUCUGCCACCUCUGGGAAUCUUUCAAAUAGACGAACAGAUUUAGUUACCACUAGAUGCCAAACAUAAGAAGACAGAUGACAGCAUCCACAGCAAAAGAGGAAAUUGUAACAGCAGUUUGGAGAUUGGAUGGACCUUGAGACGUGGAAUGAACUCCAUCGCAAGGAGCUAGGAAUGUCGCCCCAUACUAUAGACAGAUCUCUUGCGCCAACCAUAUAACACUUCUUCCCGCUCCAUUUUUCAAGUGCAAAACUCUGCACAAGACGUGGAAAGAUCACUAUACGUGAAAUAUUUGGAAAAUUAAGAUGGUGCCGUCUUUCCAUAAGGAACGUGAUAAGAGUGAUAGAUGAUUAUGCAGAGAGAAUUACAAGAAGGAAAAUGUAUCAUUCGGUCAUUUGUUAUGCUGAACAAACAAGGUAUUAAACAGAUAUGAUACUCCUCAAGACAUGGUUCCCAAAAUGAUUAAAAUAAGAUUGUUGUGCUUAAAUUAAGUACUCCACUUUAAUAAAAAUGAAAAAAACAAACUAGAGUAACUUCUUCUGCCACUGCUUCAAAAAGACCACUGCAACCAGGUUGUGUUCCAUGAGCUUCUCCCCGCAAUAGAAUACCACAAAACAUAAGAGAAUGGAUGGUCCAUCUUUAUAUCCAGCCCAACCAAUUCUAGGAGUAACACCUUCUAAAGUCAUUCUCUGCUUUUGCCUAGUCCUCCCUCAAUUCAGACAAUGACAUCACGUUUUAGCACACACAGACAAUGCGCCCUGCAUACAUAAUUAUGUCAUCACAUGCAUGUGAGCGGAGACUGCACUGACGAGAUAACUUCACCUCCACAGCAGACUUGUAUGGAACAAACGAUGUUCCAAUUCCAUCCCAAAUUCGAACUGAAACCAGUUAUGCCACAACAGCCAUUUUAAAGCACAGUGUUCAAAUUCAUCCCUGGCUCAGCUGCUGCAGACAGUGCACAAGCCCAUUGGUAAAGAUGCCCUUCUCACCUACUAUUUUAACUUUGAAUUCGUUCUAGCAAGUAUCAAUAAUUUCUUCAGACUGCCCAGCACAAGCAGUGAAGCCAAAAGCAAUCAACCAGCCGACCCAAGUUUUAGAAAGAAAAAUAAAACAAAAUUGAACCUGAGUGCUGAGCCAAUUAUUGAGUUGACACGGCUUAUACUUCAUAUCUUUAAGACUACCCUUCAGCAACAACGUUGUUAGCCACUUAAUAUCAAACCAUUUGUUCCAAUGCGCAGAUAAUCGAGAGAUUGCAGCUGACUACGCGAAUCAUUCUAAAAGCCUAAAAAUAUUUAAAAAAAAGACUCAAUUUUUGUCUUUAACGCGUGUGAUGGGCCAUGGUCUUCGAGACGCGGAUUCCACAAAACCGGGGUUCUGUGCAGAAGUUCGAAACCGUUCGACCCUCGAGCCGAUCUCAAAGCCUUUCACCUUCCACUCCAAGAAUUCAACUCAGUCAAGCCCCAGGCCCACGAACCCGGCAAUCAUUUCAUCCCGCGGCCGGCGUAAAACCCAGAAUUCGUCCGACGGAAAUCAAGUUACGUUGCGACCGGAGUCGACGAGAAGAGGGUGGGUGCAGAGACGCAGGAAGACGUCCUUCUUCCUAGUCAGCGAGGGCCCAAAAGGCGGCGGCGGCGGCGUCGGAGUCGGAGGCGGCGCGGAAGGCGGGGGAGAAGGUGGCGCAGCGGUCGGCGUCGACAGGGGUGGCGAGGGCCAGGGAGAGUAUGCGGGCGAUGCAAUCCGCGGGCAAGGCGCCCAGCUCCACCAUCUCUUUUUGUUGGGAUGAUCGAUUUCGAUCGGUCGGGUUCGAAGCUCGAUCGGUCCGAUGAUGUUCUUGUUUCGAUUCUGUCUGAGGUUGCUGACAACCACGGGCUCAGCCGCGAAGCAGAGGCUUCCCAGUCUCCAGCUUUUUUUUUUUUUUUUUCUCUCUUUUCUGGUCUUUCCUUGGGUCACCCCGAACCCGAUUUGUUUGGUGAUAGAAAAAUACUUUUCAAAAGCUUCCGUUAAGAUGAUGGCAUGGAAAAAAUUUCCGAGAAGUCGAAAAUUCUUUUCCUCUCUCUUCUAUCUCGUCUUCAACCUUCAAUCAUUGGGAGGGUUUGAGCUUACCUCACCCUCCCCUCCAUCCAUUUUGGUUUUCUUUGAAGUUUUCUUAUAUUUUUUCCAUUUUUCUCUCCUGAUUUAGAUUUGGGAGUUAUGCUCUCCCGAUCUAACUCCAAAUUUGAGAGUUUGAACUCUCUGAACCUAGUUUUAGACCAAUGAGUUUUUUCUCUCCCUAUUUAGAUAUAGGAAUUUAACAAUGUUUUCGGGGAUUCGAUACUCUCGCACUCUAUGCAUGUACAGGUCCUUUGCCUCCAAUUUCAAUAAUGAUUGUAGGAACUCUAGCAUCUUGCUUUGCCAAAGGUUAGAUUUAUAUUUAUUUGAUAUAUUUUGGUCAUCUCUAUACGUCAAUAAUAUAGAGGAAGCCAAAUUUAAGCAUGCAUUGCCAACUAGCAAAGCCGUAGUUAUUGGAGAAAGAAUUUCCAUUGCAUGCUCAUCAUUGACAAUGAUACAAGAUUUAGUGAUUGAUAGCCAAUUAUCUUGCUGACAAAUCUGUUCUUUUAGAAUGAGUAUAUGCUUAACUCUACUGGCGCUUUGUUAAUACACCUUGUUUUUUGAAUUUAACUUUGUUUUGCAGUAUUCUAACCUUCUUUUACUUCAAUUUGCUUUCAAUUUGCUUUAUUUUCUAACAAAAUAAAAAAGCGUCUAUUAAGGUUUCACUCUAUCCUUAAAUGAGAUAAAUAAAGAAGAUGAAGGAAAAAAAUUCAAAGAAAUCAGAAAAUAUAACUUUUUGUUUACGAAAUAGAGUUAUCAUAAUAAAGGAAUGGACAAAAGCCAUCAAAACCCUAGAGUAUUCCCGCGGUGACACAUUUAUUCUAAAUUUUCCUCUGGGAUAUAAAAAAUGUCAAACUUAUUCAUGUGCAACAUAUUUACUAUUCAUCAAUACAAACCUUUAAAAGCCUACCUACAUGGACAUCGGAAAACAAAUAGUGUUGGCAUGGCGCCUAUGUAUCUUUAGUGAAAUAAAAAUGAUAUUUGCUUUGGCUGAAUUUUUUUUUUUUUACAGAACCUUAAUGAAUGAUAAAUAUGUCACGUAAGUACAAGUUUGAUAUUUUUUACGUCAUAAGAAAAAGUUUUGAGUAAAUAUGUCAUAGUAGAUAUAUUUUGGGGGUUUUUAUGUUACAAAUAAAAAUUUAAAGUAAAUAUAUCACAGUUGGUAUAAUCUGUGAUCUUUUUAUGACUUUUUCCUUAAAGAAAUUCACUUAAGUAAAACUCCUCAAUUAAUUCUUUUCAUUUAUUAUGCCCUUAUGCAAGAUUGUGCCAAGCCAAUCGACACUCUUAUUAGAUCAAGCUAGGUCUCUCCAGCUCAGCCAAGGCAUUAGGGCCCUAUAUGCACUAGCAAUCGGCACAUAGAGGAGUGGUUGCCCGAGUUUUUCGGCCUAGUAUCACGCGCCUUGCAUUCUUACUCUUGCAAAAGAUUAGCAUGUUAUCCCUAAAGUAACUUUCUAGAUCAUCUUCCAUAAAUCAUAUAACUAUCGAAAGCUUUAUAUCUUGAAAUUAUCAAGUUAAUGAUAAGAUACAAGUAUGUUCUAGAGGAUAUUAUGCGCUUAUUAUAAAACAACUCCUUAGAGGAAGGGCCAAGCAAGGGGAAAACGGGUAGGAAAACUGGGAGUUUGGGUUCUUGAGCAAUUUGUGUUGCUCAUAUUUUAAAAGGCAAUUAAACCUAGAAGUUAGCGCCUAGAUCAAGAAAGAAGUUUUUCAUUAAUACAUCAUAUAUAAAUUUAAGGAAUUUUUUUAUGUCUAAGAUGGCGAGGGUCAGUGCACAUUCUCUAAAUCAGCGUUGAGUGCUUGUAACAACUUUGCUCACGACAUGACUGUUGAAUGAGUCAAUUUCUUUUUGGUUUGUUUUUCAUGUGUUAAAAGUCUGUUAAGCACUCCUAUUAUGUGGGUUUGUUGCUGUAUGUGUUAAGUUAGUGGGCUGUGGUAGUUACCUGUUGGUGUAAAGCAUAUAUAAAGGCUAUGGCGUCAGUUUUAUAUGUUGUUCUACAGACAGUUCUUCUUCCUUUGUGUAUAUCUUUCAAUCCUAUAUUUUUCAACACUAGUAUCAGAGAAAGGUUAGGAAGAAAAGUGUGUGUUUGAGUACUAUAAAAAAAGGUGAGAACUAAAAGAGAGCUUUUUGCAACAAGUAUUUUCGUUUGCUGCAGUCAAAAGAGAGUAUUGUAGUAGGCUAUUUUUGUUUGUAGCAACAGCAGGUUGCUUUUGUAGUGGUUCUGUCUUUCAGCGGCAAUAAUGACCUCGGAAACAUUUGUACAACUAGCUAUUCCACACUUUAAUAGUCACUAUGAUCAUUGGAGCAUGCUAAUGGAGAAUUUUCUCAAGUCCAAGGAGUAUUGGGAUGUUUUCUCGGGAGUUUCCGAACCUGAUGAAGUGGUUGUGUUAACAGCAGCAUAAAGAACAGCUUUGGAUGCAUCAAAAUUGAAUGAUCUCAAGGCCAAAAGCUACCAUUUCCAAGUAAUUAACAGAUUCAUUAUGGAGACAAUUCUUUGCAAGGAUACCUCCAAGAAAAUAUGGGAUUCCAUGAAGAGAAAGUAUCAAGGCUCAGCAAGAGCAAAGAGGCGGCAGCUUCAAAUGCUUCGUUCGGAGUUCGAAAUGUUAUGAAUGAAGUCGAGAGAGAUAAUCACAGAAUUCUUCUCUCGGACAAUGGCAAUAGUUAAUAAGAUGCGGAUUCAUGGCGAUAAGACGGAGGAUGUCACGAUGAGAUUCUUCGAUCCUUGACACCAAAGUUCAACUUUAUUGUUUGUUCCAUAGAAGAAGCCAAGGACAUUGAAGAACUUUCCAUUGAUGAAUUGCAAGGAUCCUUGUUAGUUCACAAACAAAACUCCUACAGCAAGAGAUAGAAGAGAAGGUUUGAAGGCCUCAACUGGAGAUCAUUCUUUAUUAGCAACAAGGGUGAAUAGAAGAAGAGGCAGAGGAAGAGGGAACAACAAUCGCAACAGCUUCAACUUUGAUCAAAAGUUUGAAAGACAUUCCUAUCGUGAUUUCCAAGGGAGAGGAAGAAGUCGUGGAGGACGACAUUCAACUGGUUUUAGGCCAAGGUCAACAGACAAAUCCAAAGUGGAGUGUUUUAGAUGCCAUAGGUAUGGGCAUUACAAAUCUAAAUUUCGAACUAAUCUGAAUAGACAAAGUAUGGAAAGAACUAACUUUGUUGAAAAAGAAGAAGAAGCAUCUCUUUUGAUGGUGUGCCAUAAGAAGGAAGAAACUCAAUCAAACAUGUGGUAUCUCGACACUGGUUGUAGCAACCACAUGUGUGGAGAUAAGAAGAUGUUUUCUAAUCUGGACAAAUCGUACCACAACACCGUGAAGUUUGGUAACAAUUCUAUUGUGUUGGUGAUGGGGAAAGGAACAGUGGCAAUUCAUCCAAAGGGGACUUCGGUACAAACUAUCUCAAAUGUAUUGUAUAUCCCUGAAUUGAAGACUAAUCUGUUAAGUGCUAAUCAACUGCAAGAGAACGGAUAUGAAAUCUCUAUUAAAGGUGAGAUUUACAAAAUCCAAGAUGAGAAGCUAGGUUUAAUUGCUGAAGUCAAAAUGACGGGCAAUCGGAUGUUUCCACUGUAUCUCCAUAACACUACAAAUUCAUGUUUCUCUGCAAGAUUGAAGGAGGAAGCUUGGCUAUGGCAUUUUCGCUAUGGGCAUCUCAAUUUUGGUGGGUUGCGAACAUUACAUAAAAAAGAGAUGGUGGAGGGUCUUCCUCAAAUCUCUGCUCCUUUGGAAAUUUGUGAGGAUUGUGUUGUUAGCAAGCAACAUCGUGCUCAAGGAGGGUCUUCCUCAAAUCUCUGCUCCUUUGGAAAUUUGUGAGGAUUAUGUUGUUAGCAAACAACAUCGUGCUCAAUUUCCAUAAAGAAAAUCAUGGAGAGCAAAAAGCCCGUUGGCAUUGGUCCAUUCAGAUAUUUGCAGACCAAUAUCUCCAAUUUCCAAUGGAGGUAAACGGUAUAUCAUUACCUUCAUCGAUGAUUUUAGUCGGAAGAUUUGGGUGUAUUUCUUGCAAUAAAAAUCUGAAGCUUUUGUAGCUUUUAAGAACUUCAAAGCACUUGUUGAAAAAGAUGGAGGAAAUCAAAUAAAAGUCUUUCGCACAAAUCGUGGUAGAGAGUACAACUCACUUGAGUUUAUAGAUUUUUGUGUGAAACAUGGCAUCAAGAGACAACUUACAAUAGAAAUGGCGUAUGUGAGAGGAAGAAUCAUACCAUUUUGAAUAUGGCGUGAAGUCUCUUGAGGGGAAGUGUCACGCCCCGAACCCCGAGCGCGUGCCCAUCUCUAUCUGGUUUAUAAUAAUUUAUGACUUCCCAGGACGAGUCGCCGACCCUUUCCAUUUUAUUGCACAUGCGGAAGCGAAAAGAAAUCCCCUGAUAGUAACCAUCUUAGAAUAGAAAAGCAGGACAAUAGAUUCACAAACAAACAUAUUUUUAUAUAUACAUUGAGUCAUGUACAAAAGUCUAUGGCCAAAAGACUACAAAAGACUGGCCUUCCAAAAGAAGCGGUCCUAACUGACCUAUACUUCUGAUCACCUCCUCUCAGCUCCAGGUCCUCCACUCGAUGACCCUGAAAAUGUUGUCCCACAACAGGAUGAGAUAUAAUCUCAGCGAGUCUAAGCUCUAAAUCUCAAUUAGGAAGGAAAUACGCCCAUAAGUGUCCUAAUCACACAAUCACACACUUAGCAUAGAUGACUUAUCUCGUCUCAGUUCCACACUGCAGGUCAGUAUAAUUCAAAUACUCAAUUAAACAAUUCAAUUCAAAUCCACCAUCAAUCAGUCGAUUCAUUCGACUCCAUGCCAUCAAUGUCAUUCAUAUAUUAUGUCGAUUCGAACAUUGCUCAUCUAAGCUGAAAUAGAUAUACUCAUAUAUCAUUGCUCCCCAAAGCUGACUAAAAUUUGCUCACCGAAGCUGUUAGAUCAAAUAAUGCUCACUAAAGCUGCUAAAUAACAAGUGCUCGCCGAAGCUGAUGUCUAAUGUGCUCACUGAAGCUGCUAAAGCAUUAUUGCUUGCCAUUGCUCACCGAAGCUGCUAGAGAUCUAUAAUGAUAUUAAUGCUCCCUGAAGCUGUUAUAGAUCUAUAUUGUUCACCUAAGCUGAUUUGGUACUCAAAGACCACUUUCGGUGUCAACACCCGACACCCGGCAUUUUUCAAUUAAAAUACCAAUAUAUCACAAUCAUCACUCAAUUUAACAAUACAGCAUUCAAUUGCAGAAACUAAACACAUCACUACGAUCAGCUUGAAAUUCUAUCGAGCGACUCUCCCGGUAUAAUUUCCAGAAAAAUAAUUAAUAAUUAAAUAAUUACUGAAAUUAAUUAAAUAAAUCAAUUUAAAUUCUAACAACACUAACCUAGGCUAGAAUCAUUAAAUUAAUAGCCAAUACGGACUCGGAAAAAUUCCUGAACCUUUCUAGAUAAAUAGUACAAUUUAUUUAGGCGUUAGCUAAACCAUGCUAACCACCUAACAUGCUCAAUUAAAUAAUUACAUUUCUAAUUUAAUCUAACUAACCACCUAAUUCCUAAUAAAAUAAAUCUAAAUAUCCCUUAAACGUCAUUAACCUACUAAGCAGAUUUUAGAGUAUUAACUCACCAAUUAAUUACGGAAACUAGUUCACUACAACGACGGUGCGACGAUGGCGCGACGAUGGCCGAAAUCUGAAUUUUCGGCGGCGUCGGCGGACUUGGGCCGGGCCUAAAACAGGCCCAACAAAUCUCAGCCCAACGGAGAUUUGUUUUCAACUUGGGGCUGGGCUUCACUUGAUUCGCGAGCUGAAUUCGCUAGGCUUUCGAGACUGGGCUUGACUGAAAAUGGGCUUCAAAUUACUGGGCUGAUCUUGCUUUGAAGAAACUGUUGGGCCGAAUUGUGGGCUGCUUGCUCACGGGAUGGGCUUCAAGUGGGCAUGCGGCUCGAUGAGCUCGCUGGGCUGUUGAAAACGUGGGCCAAAGAAAUGCAUUGGGCUGCACUCCACAUGCAAGAGGAGCAGCAAAGUCCACGAGCUGAAGAAGCUGGAAUUCACGGUUGGCUUCGUGCGUCGCUGCAGACCUUCGCUGGAAGAGUGGACGGCUCGAAGAAAUUGAGGCAGCAACGAAGAUGGAUGAAGGGCGGCUAGAUUUCUUGUCGCGUGGAGAGGGCGUCGAACGUGAGGCAGCAAAGGAACAAGCGGAGUCAACAAACCGCUUCUGUUGGAUGAUGGUAUUUACUCAUUAAAUGGGGCUGCAAGAAAUUUUUUGGUCAAAGAUGAUGAGAAGGCAGCAAAUUUCGGUGGAGCAAGAGGGAUGGAGCGGUGGGCGUUGGUCUUCGUGAGGGAGAGAGAGACGCUCGGUGAGUGGAGAUGUGGGCGAGUGAUUGCGGUCUGGUCGGUGGGGACAACAAGAGAGGCAACGGGGGCUUGGUGAUUGAUGAAAAAUAAAGGGAAAAUGAAAGCAAGGUAGGAGCCAACGGAGAGGGAGAGAGAAAUGGUCGAGCAGGAAGAAGAUGAUGAAGACCGAAGGGGAAAGGAGCGUAUGGGAGAAGAUUGAGGGAGAGGAAGCCAAAAUAUCCAAUUAAAUAUCUCACAUUCAUCAUUGUUUGGUCCCACUAGGCCUUUAACAUUAUCUUCAUAGUCUCCUAAUACUUUCUAGCUCAAUUUUCACUAAUUCAACCCAAAAGAUACCAAAAUGCAGCCCUUCUCUCUUUGAUCCGAAUUUUAAUCUUUGGUCUCCAAUUUCUUUAACAAUUUUCCCAAAUUCAACGUCUAAUUUUGAUGUAGAAAAAGCCCACAUAAUUUCUACAAGUCUCCUUCACCAUAUGGCUUGGUUUGCAAGUCGAAAAUCUCUUCAAUUCAGCCAAUCCGAAUUUAUGUUAUUUUUCCGCGACGUCCGAAUCGAUAUUCUGUAAAAAACCUCGGAAUCUCUGAAAAUUAUUUGGAGAAUGAGUUGACGUUCCUAAAUUAGCUUGUAACACCUCAGAACUUUCAAUUUUUGAAAUUGGGUUCAAAUUCGUGGUUAUUUUCAAUCCGGCGCGCUUUUAGCGUGACUUAGUUUACUAGGUAACUUUUAGAAAUUUUUUGUACAAUUGACCCAUGAUCGAUUUAUCUUGAGUCACAAUAUACGUCUUCGACACAUUGGCGACUCUCGAUUAUCGUAAAAAUCUCAAGGUUUCAAAUACGAACACAGGGUACCCAAAACGAUAGAAAAUCAAUUUAGUGCCGAUUGAUGAUAAUUUUGCAAUCAGGUGGAAUCACCCACAUUUUGAUCACCUGUCUCAGUCAAAUCGACCUAUCUCUGAUUUUUUAUCGAUUUUUAAGUGUGCCGUAAUGACUCUUGCAAAUUAGCACGGUCGAGUAGUCGAUUCCUGAUCAAAUUCUCAAUCCUUUUUGCAUUAAAAUCCCUUAAUAAUUUUCCUAGAUAGUCUAGUUAUCUCUUGAGUGAUCGAUUCAGAGAAUAGCACUAUAGACACGUCGACGAAAUGCCCGAUUUAUUCAAUUGAAAUCAGAUUUGAAAAAUCAGGAUGUCACAGAAAGUGGAAUUCCAAAAUGUUUCUAGCUUGAAGUAGUCAAAUGGAGCAUUUAUAUUUUAAAUAGAAGUCCCACUCUAACUAUUCAAAAUAAGACACCAAAAGAAGCUUGGAGCGGCCAAAGACCUGCAAUAGAUCACUUUAGAAUUUUUGGGUGUAUUGCUUACGCCCAUGUUCCUGACCAGAAGAGGAAGAAGCUAGAUGACAAGGGAGUCAAAUGUGUUUUUCUUGGCAUUAAUGAUCAAUCAAAAGCCUAUAAACUUUAUGAUCCUAUGACCAAGAAAAUCAUUAUCAACCAUGAUGUGAUUUUUUAUGAAGAACAAACUUUGCCGUGGGGUGAGCAAGGUGUUGGUAAGCAAAUUUCAACGAAUUUUGAAAAUGAAAAUGAGCUAGUGCAACAACCCACAACAACCCAAAUUGCCACAGGUAGUGUCCAAAGCACAGCAGAAGUUGCGGAACCUGAAAAUCGGCCUCAUCAUGUUCGACGGAGGCAUGCAUGGAUGAGUGACUAUGAAGUAACAUGAGUUGAUCAAUAUGAAGAUCCACUUACCCAUUUUGCUUUGUUUUUAGAUUGCGAAACCUUUGAUGUGCAGUACAAAAAGAAAAUUGGAAGAUAGCAAUGGAUGAAGAAAUCGCAGCUAUUGAGAGGAAUAACACUUGGAAGUUGACAGAUCUUCCAAAAUAACACAAAACAAUUGGGGUCAAGUGGGUGUACAAGAUAAAAUUGAACAAGAAUGGUAAAGUUGACAAGUAUAAGGCGUGCUUGGUGGCAAAAGGCUACAAGCAAGAAUUUGGAGUGGAUUACAAAGAAGUAUUUGCACCCGUAGCAAGACUUGACACAAUCAGAUUAGUAAUUGCAUUAAUAGUACAAAAUUCAUGGCCUAUCUUCCAAUUGGAUGUGAAGUUAGCAUUCUUGCAUGGUGAUCUUCAAGAAAAGGUAUCUGUUGAUAAACCUUCUGGUUAUGUGAAGCUCGAUAAUGAACAUAAAGUUUAUAGAUUAAAAAAGGCACUAUAUAAAACAAGCUCCUCGAGCUUGGUAUAGUCGCAUUGAUGUCUAUUUUUUGAAGAAAGGUUUUAGAAAAUGUCCAUAUAAGCAUACACUCUUUAUUAAAAUUGGUGAUGGUAGAAAGUUGCUUCUUGUAUGCUUAUAUGUGGACGAUCUUAUUUUUACUGGAGAUGAUAGUGCCAUGUUUGACAAAUUCAAGGAGUCUAUGAUGGAUGGAUUGAGAUGUCUUAAAAGAAGUAUGUUCAAGAGAUUUUGGACAGGUUUCAAAUGAAUAAUUGUAACCCUAUUACAACUCCAACUGAAGUUGGAUUGAAGCUCUUGAAAGAUCUUAAUGGAAGCAAGGUGGAGAGCACUCUCUACAAGUAAAUUGUUGGAAGCCUAAUGUAUUUGACAGGGACAAGACCAGAUAUCAUGCAUGCCAUGAGCCUUAUAAGCAGGUAUAUGGAGCACCCAACAGAAUUACAUCUACAAGCUGCAAAAAGGAUUUUUUGCUAUUUGUAAGGAACUAAAAAUUUUACCAAAAAAAAAAAAAUUGGGCUAUUCUAUAAAAAGUGAGAAAAGUCAGAUUUAUUUGGAUUUACAGAUAGCAAUUAUGCUAGAGAUGUUGAUGAUAGAAGAAGUACUUUAGGGUAUGUCUUCAUGCUUGGUUCAGGGGUGGUUUCAUGGUCUUCAAAGAAGCAAUCAAUUGUUAGUUUAUCAACAACUAAAGCAGAAUUUGUUGCUGCAACUUCAUGCGUCUAUCAAGUCAUAUGGUUACGGAAGAUUCUUGGAAAGCUUCAUUUCAAACAACAAGAAGCAACUACAAUCUAUUGUAACAACAGCUCAACUAUCAAGCUGUCCAAAAAUCCAGUUCUACAUGGGAGAAGCAAACAUAUAGAUGUGAAGUACCACUUCUUAAGAGAUCUUACAAAAGAUGAAGUAGUUAAGCUAGUUUUCUGUAAAAGCGAGGAUCAAGUGGCUAAUAUAUUCACCAAGCCCCUAAAGUUGCCCAUGUUUCAUAAACUAAGAAAGCUCCUUGGUGUCCGUUUGUUGGAUAUUCCAUUUUGAGAGAAUGUCCUUUAAACUAAUUGUUUGCAAUAUCAGUUAAGGGAAGGAAUGUUAAAUGACUCAAUUUCUUUUUGGUUUGUUUUUCAUGUGUUAAUAGUCUAUUAAGCACUCCUAUUAUAUGGGUUUGUUGUCGUACGUGUUAAGUUAGUGGGCUAUGGUAGUUACCUGUUAGUAUAAAGUCCAUAUAAAGGCUAUGGCGUCAGUUUUAUAUGUUGUUGUGCAGAUAGUUCUUCUUCCUUUGUGUAUAUCUUUCAAUCCUCUAUUUUCAACGAUGACUUGAGUAGUCUCGUGCAAAAUAGAGUGACAAAAACAAAGACGUUAAUAUUUUUAUGCCACUACCGUUUCUUCUCUCUCAAUGAACGAAUGCUUUCUUUUUCUGUAAAGCGGCUUCAGUAGUUUUCGAGCCAGCUUCGGCUCAUUUCGAUUGCUCCACCUCUCCAAACGAUCUUAAGAGACAUUGGCCUUCGAGAUUUUACUCCUAAAAUGUUCUAAAGAAAGGCAGGGAUAACAUUUCAAAAUGGUUCUCCCUUUUUAUAAACACCCCCUUGCAAAUAUAUACUCUGUAACAUCUUAUGUGAAGUAUAAUCAUCUGUAAUAUGGUCAACAUCCCCAUUUACCUCAUCUCUGCCGACCUCUGCGCAAAGGUCCACCUAUCCGCAGACUGACUACUUUGUCGGGAAAUGAUCCGUGUAGGACGAAGCUCAAUCCCCUGGAUGACCAGCCCGGAUUUCCAGCGACCACUUGUCAUCUUCUUCAAGCUUACUUGAACCUCCCCAGUUGGACGGUUGUUCACGAAAAACUUACCCAGAUAGAUCUCCUUCCACCCAUCUCCUUGGUCCUGACGAAUAUUUUCCUCCGUUGACCGAACAGCUCUUGAGGAUUGAGCUUGCGAGGUUUGAUAUUGCUGUCUCAACCUCCCGUCAGGAUCCAAACAUAUAUCACGUCGCUCAACCUCAGAACCAGAAGAGAUGGACACUCCCAUUGCUUGAUUCCCAAUGCCAGAGUUCUUAUGCACAAUCUUGAAGAUUAAGUAAGCUGAAUAAUAUGUGUCAGCAGACAGAAGUCGUGUCUCCAUGUUAGCGCGAACCUCGAGCCAGCAUACUAUUAUGAGCUCUGCCACCUCUGGGAAUCUUUCAAAUAGAUGAACAGAUUUAGUUACCACACAAUAGAUGCCAAACAUAAGAAGACAGAUGAUAGCAUCCACAGCAAAAGAGGAAAAUGUAACAGCAGUUUGGAGAUUGGAUGGACCUUGAGACGUGGAAUGAACUCCAUUGCAAGGAGCUAGGAAUGUCGCCCCAUACUAUAGACAGAUCUCUUGCGCCAACCAUAUAACACUUCUUCCCGCUCCAUUUUUCAAGAGCAAAACUCUGCACAAGACGUGGAAAGAUCACUAUACGUGAAAUAUUUGGAAAAUUAAGAUGGUGCCGUCUUUCCAUAAGGAACAUGAUAAGAGUGACAGAUGAUUAUGCAGAGAGAAUUACAAGUAGGAAAAUGUAUCAUUCGGUCAUUUGUUAUGCUGAACAAACAAGGUAUUAAACAGAUAUGAUACUCCUCAAGACAUGGUUCCCAAAAUGAUUAAAAUAAGAUUGUUGUGCUUAAAUUAAGUUCUCCACUUUAGUAAAAAUGAAAAAAACAAACUAGAGUAACUUCUUCUGCCACUGCUUCAAAAAGACCACUGCAACCAGGUUGUGUUCCAUGAGCUUCUCCCCACAAUAGAAUACCACAGAACAUAAGAGAAUGGAUGGUCCAUCUUUAUAUCCAGCCCAACCAAUUCUAGGAGUAACACCUUCUAAAGUCAUUCUCUGCCUUUGCCUAGUCCUCCCUCAAUUCAGACAACGACAUCACAUUUUAGCACACACAGACAAUGCGCCCUGCAUACAUAAUUAUGUCAUCACAUGCAUGUGAGCGGAGACUGCACUGACGAGAUAACUUCACCUCCAUAGCAGACUUGUAUGGAACAAACGAUGUUCCAAUUCCAUCCCAAACUCGAACUGAAACCAGUUAUGCCACAACAGCCAUUUUAAAGCACAGUGUUCAAAUCCAUCCCUGGCUCAGCUGCUGCAGACAGUGCACAAGCCCAUUGGUAAAGAUGCCCUUCUCACCUACUAUUUUAACUUUGAAUUCGUUCUAGCAAGUAUCAAUAAUUUCUUCAGACUGCCCAGCACAAGCAGUGAAGCCAAAAGCAAUCAACCAGCCGACCCAAGUUUUAGAAAGAAAAAUAAAACAAAAUUGAACCUGAGUGCUGAGCCAAUUAUUGAGUUGGCACAGCUUAUGCUUCAUAUCUUUAAGACUAACCUUCAGCAACAACGUUGUUAGCCACUUAAUAUCAAACCAUUUGUUCCAAUGCGCAGAUAAUUGAGAGAUUGCAGCUGACUACGCUAAUCAUUCUAAAAGCCUGAAACUAUUGGAAAAAGGUUCAAUUUUUGGUCUUUAACACGAGUAAUCGGCCAUGGUCUUCGAGAAGCGGAUUCCACAAAACGGGGGUUCCGUGCAGAAGUUCAAAACCAUUCGACCCUCGAGCCGAUCCCAAGGCCUUUCACCGUCCACUCCAAGAAUUCAACUCAAUGAAGCUCCAGGCGCACGAGCCCGACAAUCAUUUCAUCCCGCGGCCGGCGUAAAACCCAGAAUUCGUUCGACAGAAGUCAAGUUACCUUGCGAUCGGAGUCGAUGAGAAUAGGGUCGGUGCAGAGACGCAGGAAGACGUCCUUCUUCCUAGUCGAGGGCCCAAAAGGCGGCGGCGAGGAAGUGGAGACGAUGAGGUCGAGGUCGUGGGGGAGGAAGUUGCGCCAGACGGCGUCGGAGUCGGAGGCGGCGCGGAAGG